RNAcentral lists this ribosomal RNA (292 nucleotides) under uncultured prokaryote. RNAcentral's name for it is "partial 16S ribosomal RNA". It matches the Rfam family "Archaeal small subunit ribosomal RNA", at positions 474 to 771 of the family's 1478-position model. The record is from RNAcentral.
UACCGGCGGCUCGAGUGGUGGCCACGAUUACUGGGCUUAAAGCGUUCGUAGCUGGGUUGUUAAGUCUCUUGGGAAAUCUACCGGCUUAACCGAUAGGCGUCCAAGGGAUACUGGCAAUCUAGGGACCGGGAGAGGUGAGGGGUACUUCAGGGGUAGGAGUGAAAUCCUGUAAUCCUUGGGGGACCACCUGUGGCGUAGGCGCCUCACCAGAACGGCUCCGACAGUGAGGGACGAAAGCUGGGGGAGCAAACCGGAUUAGAUACCCUGGUAGUCCCUGAGCGGGCUGGCAAGG